RNAcentral lists this ribosomal RNA (468 nucleotides) under uncultured bacterium. RNAcentral's name for it is "partial 16S ribosomal RNA". The stretch from base 20 to 332 matches the Rfam family "Bacterial small subunit ribosomal RNA", at positions 47 to 358 of the family's 1533-position model. The record is from RNAcentral.
GACGAACGCUGGCGGCGUGCUUAACACAUGCAAGUCGAACGGAAAGGCCCUGCUUUUGUGGGGUGCUCGAUUGGCGAACGGGUGAGUAACACGUGAGUAACCUGCCCUUGACUUUGGGAUAACUUCAGGAAACUGGGGCUAAUACCGGAUAGGAGCUCCUGCUGCAUGGUGGGGUUUGGAAAGUUUCGGCGGUUGGGGAUGGACUCGCGGCUUAUCAGCUUGUUGGUGGGGUAGUGGCUUACCAAGGCUUUGACGGGUAGCCGGCCUGAGAGGGUGACCGGGGAAAAUGGGAAGGAGAGACGGAACAGAAGGAAAAGGGAGGCAGCAGGGGGGAAUAGUGAAAAAAGGGAGGAAGGAAGAGGAAGAAAAGCAGGGAGCGGGAAGAAGGGAAUGGGGGUGUAAAAAGAAGUAGAAUGAGACGAAGAGUGAGUGACGGUAAUGGGUAAAGAAGCAACGGCUAACUACGUG